RNAcentral lists this ribosomal RNA (301 nucleotides) under uncultured bacterium. RNAcentral describes it as "partial 16S ribosomal RNA". It matches the Rfam family "Bacterial small subunit ribosomal RNA", at positions 509 to 808 of the family's 1533-position model. The record is from RNAcentral.
CAGUCGCCACGGGAAUACGUAGGGCGCAAGCGUUAUCCGGAAUUAUUGGGCGUAAAGAGCUCGUAGGCGGUUUGUCGCGUCUGCCGUGAAAGUCCGGGGCUCAACCCCGGAUCUGCGGUGGGUACGGGCAGACUAGAGUGAUGUAGGGGAGACUGGAAUUCCUGGUGUAGCGGUGAAAUGCGCAGAUAUCAGGAGGAACACCGAUGGCGAAGGCAGGUCUCUGGGCAUUAACUGACGCUGAGGAGCGAAAGCAUGGGGAGCGAACAGGAUUAGAUACCCCCGGUAGUCCCUGUCUCUUAUU